This 240-nucleotide ribosomal RNA is filed under the name uncultured bacterium. RNAcentral's name for it is "partial 16S ribosomal RNA". It matches the Rfam family "Bacterial small subunit ribosomal RNA", at positions 15 to 230 of the family's 1533-position model. The record is from RNAcentral.
GAUCAUGGCUCAGGAUGAACGCUAGCUACAGGCUUAACACAUGCAAGUCGAGGGGCAGCAUGGUCUUAGCUUGCUAAGGCCGAUGGCGACCGGCGCACGGGUGAGUAACACGUAUCCAACCUGCCGUCUACUCUUGGUACGAGCCUUCCUUGAAAGGAAAGGAAUUAAUUAACAAGAAUGGCGAUCAUGAGUCCGCCAUGUUCUACAUGAUUAAAGGUUAAUUCCGGUUAGACGAUGGGG